RNAcentral lists this ribosomal RNA (406 nucleotides) under uncultured bacterium. Its description in RNAcentral is "partial 16S ribosomal RNA". It matches the Rfam family "Bacterial small subunit ribosomal RNA", at positions 30 to 526 of the family's 1533-position model. The record is from RNAcentral.
AUUGAACGCUGGCGGCAGGCCUAACACAUGCAAGUCGAACGAGUGGCGGACGGGUGAGUAAUGUCUGGGAAACUGCCCGAUGGAGGGGGAUAACUACUGGAAACGGUAGCUAAUACCGCAUACCAUCGGGUGGGCCCAGAUGGGAGUAGCUAGUAGGUGGGGUAACGGCUCACCUAGGCGACGAUCCCUAGCUGGUCUGAGAGGAUGACCAGCCGCACUGGAACUGAGACCCGGUCCAGACUCCUCCGGGAGGCAGCAGUGGGGAAUAUUGCACCAUGGGCGAAAGCCUGAUGCCGCCAUGCCGCGUGUAUGAAGAAGGCCUUCGGGUUGUAAAGUACUUUCAGCGAGGAGGCGUUACUCGCAGAAGAAGCACCGGCUAACUCCGUGCCAGCCGCCGCGGUAAUUC